AAGUCGUAACAAGGUCUCCGUAGGUGAACCUGCGGAGGGAUCAUUACUGAGUGAGGGCCUUCGGGCUCGACCUCCAACCCUUUGUGAACACAACUUGUUGCUUCGGGGGCGACCCUGCCGUUUCGACGGCGAGCGCCCCCGGAGGCCUUCAAACCCUGCAUCUUUGCGUCGGAGUUUAAGUAAAUUAAACAAAACUUUCAACAACGGAUCUCUUGGUUCUG
RNAcentral lists this unclassified non-coding RNA (221 nucleotides) under Cercospora sp. RNAcentral describes it as "partial internal transcribed spacer region". The stretch from base 1 to 46 matches the Rfam family "Eukaryotic small subunit ribosomal RNA", at positions 1786 to 1831 of the family's 1831-position model. Lineage: Eukaryota; Fungi; Ascomycota; Dothideomycetes; Mycosphaerellales; Mycosphaerellaceae. The record is from RNAcentral.